AACAAGAGACUCCGCAAUCGGCUUGCCACCAUGGACGAGUACAGGGAUUUUCUUGUAAACUGGGUUAUACUUCAAUAGCAGUUCACUUUUAUUGGUGAGGUCUUCUUCAAUAUACUCAAACUCCACGCCCUUUAGUUUCAGAGCCCAUAUAAUUCUGUAACUAAAAGGGCUAGCCCAGAAACCAUGCAGCUUCACAUCUGCCAUCGUUCCAAUGAGAUCAGAAUGCAAGGUCUCCUGCUGUGCCGAGUCCUCUUAUAGCGUCUUUUGGCUUGGGCAACAAGUAUUGGAUGCAAGAAACAUUUUUUUAUAUUGCAAGUAUUGACUUGACUUGGUCCAUAACUUUGAUUCCGAUUUUUUUUUAAUUUAACUUGGACAUCGUAAUUUGCAAGUAAUCCGUACGAUGAUUUUUUUUUUUUUUUGGGUCACGGUAUGCAGUUUAUUACUUUAUUUUCCUUUCAAGAAACUCUGACUACUCUGUAGAAAGUCACAUUCUUUGAACGUAUUCAUGCCUAGCCUUCGGAUUAGGUGGUGGAACCUGACAUGCCUACCAAUAUCACGAUGUUAUUGAAUUAAGAAAAGCAGAAAUAAACUAUCCGAGUUGCAACCUUUUUCUUUUGUUAACCUCUGCCAAAUAAUCCAUCGACUAUCUGAUUGAUCACUAAUUAACUACAAACUAAAUUUUUUAAUAUUGAUGAUUUGUAGUUUAACUUGUAAAAUUUUGAAUUUGUUUUUUUAAAGUUUAUUUAAUGUUAUAAAUUUUGAAAUUACUAAAAAUUUAUCUUAUUAAUUUUAUAGUAUCAUGACAUUAGUUAAAACGCUUCUAAACAAACUUAAAUACUCACGGUUAUAUAUAUAUAUAUAUAUAUAUAUAUAUAUAUAUAUAUUAUCUUUCUAAUAUGCUGAAAUUAUUUGCACUUCUUUAUAAUUUAUUGGAAUUGAAGUAGUGUAUUUUUAAUAAUUUUUAGUUUGAUAUUUAAAUUUUUAUUUUGUGCAAUUUACUUUUCUCAAGUACAAAUUAACUUUUAAUUACAUAUUUUUUAAAGGAAAAAAAAAGUUGAAUUUAAAUAUAGCAAACUAAAGCAAAAAUAUAGAGUGAUAUGGCUACAGAUUAAAAAUUUUAUUAAAACAUUUAUUUUAAUUCUCUCAUGUUUUUUAGAUAUUAGAUGACCAAUGUUUUAAAUUUAAAGACAAUAUAUUUUGAUAUCUAACUUUAUUUUUCUCUUUUGUGUAGUUGUUUUCUACUGGGAGGAAAGAGAAAGAGCUGUCGAAUUCUAACUUAGAUAUAGAAAGUUGUCACUAUGGAAGAUUCUAAUAGCCAAAAUGAUUGAUUUUUAGGUCAAAAUAUUUCAUAUAAUGAGAGGGUUAUGUUUAGGUGUUUGUUUACCUUAAAAACACCUCAAGCAACAAAUUUAAGUUCAUGAAGAAUUUUAUUUUCUUGUGUUUUUAGGUUUUGUGGUGAUUUAUUAGGUUUCUGGAGAUCAUGAAUUAGUUUAAUUUAAUUUUUCUAGAGUAUUUUCAAUAUGUUUUGAGUCAAAAGAAGUUGAAAAGAAGAUUUUGGAUGAAAAAACAAAGGACCUUAUUUUUAUAGCCACCAUAGUGAUCCGAUUAUAUGUUUCACAGGUGAAACGUCUUUAUAUAUAUAUAAUUGAAACGGACAACAUGUUGUUCACCUAGUUAAACUCUUUUAAAAAAUAAAGGCCUGUGUGCGGGCCGUUGCUUUAUUAGGCCAUGUACUAGGCCUAACCUUGUUCUUUUUAAAAAGAAAAUUUAGUUUUUUAAAAAAUAAUAAAUUAUUUGCGUGUAUUUUUUCAAAUAAAUUUUGGGUUUAUAUUUUAAAAAGAUUGUGACCAUUUUAAAAUGAUAUUGGGUGUGUUAAAUUUUUUUUUAGAGAGAUGAGUAUGAUUCAUCCGUGAUUUUUUUUUCUAAAUUUUAUAUAAAUUAAGUUUGUUUUUUUUAAUAUGAUUUUUUAUAAGAUUUUUUUAUAUGUAUAGCCUUGCAUUGUUUUUUUUAAUUAUUAUUAAGUAAAUUUUAUGUGUGUGUCGAUUUCUAUUAUAAAAUUUAUGUGUUUUUGUUUUACAAAUUUAUUUUGAUAAAGGAAUUCAUUAGAUAUAAUCAAGUAAAUUACUCUUAUUGCAAUGUUAGAUAUCUUGAUUUUUAUUUUUAGCUUGGUUUUUUCAAUUUUAUUUUUGUCCAUUGUUGAUGAUUUUUUUUUCAUUGCUUUACAUAAUAGUUACUAGAUUAUUUAAUUAGAUACAUGCUUAGGUUAUUUGAUUUACACCUAGGAGUUUUUUUAGUAUAAAAAAACACAUUGAAGAACUCUGUAUACAUUUUAUUUAUGUUUUGAUGUUCAAGAUUUGAUGUUUAUUCUUAUGAUUUUUAAAUUUUUUUUCUUUGAAUUUUUUAUGGAAGUUUCAUUGUUUUUAGUUUUAUUAUUCAAUCAAAGUUUAUAAUGUAUUGUUUUUUUAUGUUUUUUUUUUAUCUUUUUACUUUUGAUUUUUGUUCUUUUAUUAAUGUUUCCAUUCUCUUCAAUUUAGCUCUCAAAACUAAAAUCUGUUGUUGCCUUUUGAUUUAUUUUAUUGUAAUUUUAACACUUAUUGUUUUUAUUUUGGAUUUUUUGUGUUUUUUUUUUUGUGAUAUAGUUUUUUUUGGUUUUAUAACCCGAGUCAUGGUUUAAAAAGUUAGCAGUAAUUAACUUUUUUUUAUCUUAUUUGUUUAUAUUCAUAUUUUUUAUAUUUUUUUCUAUAAAAUUAUCAUAUUCUCAUUUAAUUUUUAUUUUGUUAACAAAUAAAAUCAUUGAGAUGUUUUUGGAAUAUUGUGAAGAUAUAUUUUUAUAAUAUUGGUAAGUGUUUAAUUUUUGCAUUGAAUUGUUAUUUUUUUUGUUUUAUUUAUUGUCAAUAUCUUAUUUUUUAAUAAUAUUAUUAAAUUAAAAAAAUUUAUUAAACUCAUUCAAGCCAAUUUUUUAAAUAUUAUAUUUAUUUUUGUUUUGUUUUGUUUUGUUUUAUUUUAUUUUUUCAUAUUUUUGACACCAAAACAAAAUUGAUGGCGGUUUUAGUUUUGGUGCCCAGAUAACCCGCUGGCUGAAUGGGCUUGAACUCAACCCUAAUAACUUUAUAUCUACCAUAUUGAUAACUGAACUGUGACUUGUGUUCAACGAAUGAGGGCUUUAAAUUAUUCAUUACAGACUUUUUUUUUCUUUUUCUCUUUUUAUUGCAGACUUUUCUUCCUGGCUGUCCAAAUAAAUGGAAAAUUAAAAUUUAUCAACUCCACAACACAAAAGGUCUUGCUUAGAUAACCCUGGUUAGGAGAAAAAUACAUUUCAGCGUUCUCUUGGUCCAUUCCUGGAUAACACAAAGAUGAUGGCCUUCAUCAACGAGUCUAAGGGUGUGUUUAUUUUUUUAAAAGUUAUUUUUAAGAAAUUUUUUUUAAUUUUUUUGUAUUUAUUUGUUAUUAAAAAAGUUGGUGAAUGAAAAACACUUUCCGAUCAUAUAAAAAUUUAGCUAGAUUUUCAGAAAAGUAUUUUCAUUUUAUUUUGGAAGAAAAACACUUUUUAUAAGUUGUAAAAUAUUUAAAAAUAUCAUAUUAUUUACUGAUUAUAUCAAAUGUGAUCCAAUCUUCACUUAAUUACUAACCUAUAAUUAGUAUAUUUUGUAAAUUGAAAUUUUAGCUUUAGUACCUUUCUCAAAGACAAGACUACUUUUUUUAUUUAUUUACGUGGGUGUCCGGGCCAACUUGUGCGCACCACGACUAAUCUCACGGCCCACUGAACAUCCUACAAGCCCAGUGAGCAUAUAAAACACCACGGAGGUGACAUGCGUGCACAAUGAGACUUGAACCCUGGUGCAGAGGAAGGGAACAAGUCCCUUCUACUACUAGGCCAAGACCUCAAGUGCAUACAAGACUACUUCUUCAUGAUCUGGCCAUUAUGAGAUUGGCUUUCUCAAAAAACUGGUGUUGUACGGAACUAAAAGAUCACGAAUUAACGAUAUUCAUGAUACAAACAAUGGCAUGAAUGCAACUUCUUGAUCCAUUAUCCAAUGUGGGUAUUCAUGUUUCUUGAUUUUGUGAAAUCAUAAAUGUCGCAACCCGGAAAAAGAUUUUUAUAUAAUUAUAAAGUUUAAGAGUAAUGAUCUAAAAUUAUGAAUACUAUAAAAUUUAUUAAUCUACGAGAGACUUGUUAUGUAAAACAAAGAUGCAUCACCCCCUCCCCUGGAAAACAGAUUUAUUGAACCUUGAGUGAAUUUGGAAAUAGCUCUAAUCUCAGGAUUACUGUCAGUUAAUGUUGAUGUAAACUAGAUGAACCCUCAUUAUGGUACUUGGGCUAAAAGUUUAUACGAAAUCCACAUACAAAAUCAUUAGCACUGUUAUUCUAUUCUGGGUGUCCCAUUCAAAGCAGACCCCUCCCUGUCCAACCAAAACGCCCUCCUGGUUCUUCUGUUUACCUUUCUUGGCUGUCAAGAGGCGUGGCAAAGAAGAUUAGCAUUGAUACCGUCAUGCAUGGCGUAUAUCUAAACGGCAACUUCCAGGAGAUGAUAUGUAUGGUCAACAUUAUUAACAUUAAUAAUGCUUAUUUAACCCAGAAAAUCAUGAAGUAAAUCGCAAACCGUGAGAAAUUGCUGAGAAACUUCUACAGAAAAAGAAAGAACAUGCAUCGCAUUAAUUAUUGCAUUUCUUAUCUCCAUAGUCAAGUCUUCUUUCGACAGAGAAUUGAAGUGAAUAUGAUUAUGUAAGCAAAUAUAUCAAUAAUGGAGGAAGUAAACCUUCUUUUCGAGGUAUAUCCCUUUCAUUAACUAAAUUAUUUUGAAUUUGCUGACCCAUCACACAGAAGCAAAGGCAAAAGAAUAUUGAUGGUCGGAAGUCUGUUUACAUUGUAUUAAAAUAAUUUUUUUUUCUUUUAAAAAAAUAUAUUUAACUUUGGAUCAUCAAAAUAAUAUAAAAAUAUAAAAAAAUAAUUUUUUUAAAAGUACGUCUGAAAUGCAUUCGCGGCCGCCCUCGAUAGCAAAUGUGUACUGCCCACAGCCCAAGCAAGACUCUUUCAUUAAAAAUCAGCACUAUAAAUGACAAUGGCAGGUAAAGAACAGUCACCGUACAAAUCCCUUGGUCAUGGCGGAGGUAGUGAAGCUGCUCGGAGCAUUGUCCAGCCCAUUUGUUUUCCGAGUGAUAUGGGCUCUAAAAAUGAAGGGCAUUCCAUAUGAGUUCAUAGAAGAAGAUGUUACCAGCAAAAGUCCUCUGCUUCUGAAGAAGAACCCUGUUCUUAAGAAGAUCCCAGUGCUUCUCCAUGGCGAAAAACCAGUUUGCGAGUCCAUGAUUAUUGUCGAAUACAUUGAUGAGAUAUGGCCCCAAAAUCCCUUGUUGCCCAAUGACCCUUACGAGAGAGCUCUGGCUCGUUUCUGGGUCAAAUUUACCGGCGAUAAGGUAAAGAGUACAGGCAUCAUUUUACAUUACAUCAAAUAUUACUAUGAAACCGAGUUCUGGGCUUUAAAAAAAAACUGGUUUCUGCUGAUUUGGUUAGUUCAUGAUCAAUGAUGAAUCAUUAGGUUGACUUGCCGAGCUGUUCUGAUAAAAUUGAUUAACGGAAAGAAAGUAAAUGGAAAGGAAUAUAAAAGAAAUACAACAGUGUUUACACACCAAACCGAAAUUAAUGCAAUAGCUGCAUCAACCAUUAUGGAGUGUAUUACAGUAGAAAAACAAGCUCAACUACAAGAGAAAAACCAUCCAUGGAAACGAAAAGGCGAGGCAUACAUGGAAUAUUUCGCAUCCAAAAGCAUAAUCUAGGCUACUUGUUCAUCAUUUUCUCCCUGACACUUUUCAUAUGGAGGAGCAUCUUAUCAUUGUCAGGAAUGUUUUCUUUAAUCAGAGGAACUUCAAGGAAAUUCUGGGCCCAAGCAUGCAAUCGAGGCAGUGUGCUUGGUUCAAGAACUUUCACACCCGCUAGUUCUUCAAUGGCUGCAAACCAAUAAGCGAAGAGUCCAUAUGAGAUGUCAACUAGAUUUAUGCUGUCACCGCCAAAAAACUUCUUGUCCCCGAGACCUUGCUCUUCUAAGACUCUCAACACUUCCACCACUUCUUUCACUGCCUUCUCUAGCUCCUCUCCACUAGCUCGGAAAAGGGCAACCAAGGCAGCACCCUAAAUUAUGAAAGAAUUCAAUUUACAUGUCACAGAACAGAGAUAAAUGAAUAGAUAUUUGAAGGUGUUUAGCCUGAGGAGAGUAAAAAUAAAAGAAGGCAAGUUGUGAUAAAUUUUUAAUUAUUAUUCCACUUUAAGAACAAGAAGAAGAAAAUGUUUUUUUGGAAUCAAUUGUUUUUUCCAGGACUGCUACCAGAUCAAAUUAAACAUUGUGGGCCUCAUGAACAGUUACAAAAUAUAUACAAGAAGAUGGAUCUUGUUACCUUGGUAGCUCCAUAUUGAAUCCAAAACCGAGCCAUGGCUCUCUCGUAAGGAUCAGUCGGUAGCAGUGGAUUCUCCGGCCAUGUUUCCUCAAUGUAUUCAAGGAUAACAAGAGACUCCGCAAUCGGCUUGCCACCAUGGACGAGUACAGGGAUUUGCUUGUAAACUGGGUUAUACUUCAAUAGCAGUUCACUUUUAUUGGUGAGGUCUUCUUCAAUAUACUCAAACUCCACGCCCUUUAGUUUCAGAGCCCAUAUAACUCUGUAACUAAAAGGGCUAGCCCAGAAACCAUGCAGCUUCACAUCUGCCAUCGUUCCAAUGAGAUCAGAGUGCAAGGUCUCCUGCUGUGACGAGUCCUCUUAUAGCGACUUUUGGCUUGGGCAACAAGUACUGGAUGCAAGAAACAUUUUUUUAUAUUGCAAGUAUUGACUUGACUUGGUCCAUAACUUUGAUUCUGAUUUUUUUUAGAUCUGUUUGUUUGCAGGAAUUUUUUUUGAAAAAUAAAUUUUGAAAAAAGUGAAUUCUAGAAAAGUAAAUUUCGAGAAAGUAUUUUUCGAUGUUUGGUAGUGUAAUGAAAAACGAACUGGAAAACACUUUUCAGUUUUUUGUUAUGUUAUGGAAAAUAAAUUGGAAAAUAAUUUAUUAAUGAAUUAAAUUUUUUUUUUAAAGUUAUCUAAUAUAUGAAAAAUAUUAAAUAUAAAUAUUUAAUCUAUUAAUUUUAUAAAAUAUAACUAUAUAUGUCAUAUAAUAUUAUAGAGAUAUAACCUUGUGAAAUUUUUCAUAAAUAAAACCUAUUAAUUAUUUUUUUUCAAUUUUAAAAGCUUAAAAUAUGUUUUUUUUUCAUAUGAAUAAAGCCAAAUUAGUUUAUAAUGGUUAUGGAAAUGAUAUCUGAUUCCCUAAACAAAUAAGGUCUUAAAAUAUAUUAUUUAAGAUCAUAAAAUUCAAUUUCUCGAUGAUAAAACCGUUUUGAAAAUUAUACAAUUCAUAAGUUCACAAUAAUCAAUAGACAUUGCACAAUGAAAUCCAUAUAAUUACCGGUAUAGACCCACAAAUUUAUUCAUAUGUAACAAAUAUAAUCAAACACUAAUCAUAUAUUAAUCAAAGCAAAUUAAAACACAUAUUUAUGUUUAUUCUUCUGUUAUAAUUCCUCUUAUUAAUGUAACAUGUAUUUAAACAUCCCCACUUCCCUUGUUUUGCAGGUUAAAACUCUCAUCAUCUCUUGCAUUUCCCUUACAAACACGCAACCUUCCCCAUGUUUUGCAGGUGCUCAUGAGACUAAAUUCAAUGGCUACCUUCAACGGCUUAAUCUACAAAGCCUAGUAAUCAGCCAUGAAAAGACCCAUAAUCCUUCAAAGCUUCCUUCCUUUGACUUCACAAGUAUAAAAUUAAACUUAUAAUUCCAUUCCCCUCUCCCAUUCCCCCCCUCUCUUGAUCGAUUCCCCUCUCCCAUUCCCCUGUUCCCUCUCCCCCUCCCUCUCGGUCGAUUCCCCGUGUUCCCUCUCCCUCUCAGUCGAUUCCCUUCUCGGUUUCUCUCAUUCCCCUUCCCUUAUUCCCUCUCCCAGGGGCAACAGGGCUCCUAUUUCCCAGUUCUCCUCCCUCCCUCCCCCGGCUACUGUUAAAAAAAAGACAGAGAGCAAGGGUUGAUUUUCAACACUUCCACUCGGGAUAUGGUGGCUGGAUCCGGGGAUGGGGUAACAGGGAGGGGAUUCUUUUUGCUAUGGAAGAUUGAUUAACACAGUUCGGGGAUUUUCAAGUGCCUCUCUUCGUGCACUUGAUUUGGUUUGUCUGGUUAGAAUAAAACUGCUGAAUGUGAGUGAUGAAGAAGAAAACUGUCAUGGAAAAAUUGUGUUUUUUGUGGCUUGCUUGAUGAAUUUUAGUUGUGUUAUGGAAAACAUAUGAUAGGUAGCAGAUGCUUCUACAAUAGUUCCUGCUUCCAAUCGUUUUUGAAGAGAGAGAGACCGUGAUUUACGAAAAUGAGUGUAAUGAAAAAAAAAAAGUGUUUUCCUUUCUUUAUCAGAAGGAAAAUACUUUCCUUUGAUAAAACAACUUUUUUAUGUUGAUGGGAUUAAGAUUUUAUUGAUUAUUUUUUCAUAUUGUUACCAAACAUGAAAAAAUAAGGAAAAUAAAUUUUAGGAAUUCGUUUUCCUUGAAACAAACAAGGACUUAAUUUAACUUAUACAUCGUAAUUUGCAAGUAAUUCAUACGAUGAACUUGUUUUUUUUUUUUUGUCACGGUGUGCAGUUUAUUUUCCUUACAAGUUGCAAGAAACACUGACUAGUCUGUAGAAAGUUACAUUCUUUGAACGUGUUCAUGCCUAGCCUUCGGAUUAGGUGGUGGAUAUGGACACACGUAGUCAUGAACCUGUCUGGCUUUCGAACUUCGAAGAAAUCUCAGUGCCCAUCUCCAAGACCUGACAUGCCUAUCACUAGGGGUGUGCAAAAAAACUGGAAAACCGAAUAAACCGAGAAAACAAAAAAAAAUUAACUGAAAAAACCGAACCGAAAAAAAAAACACUGAUUAAACCGAUUAUAAUAGUUAGAAAAAAUCCCGGUUCAAUUCGGUUUUCAGUUUUGUAAUGCAGGAACCGGUUAACCCGGACCGAACCGAACCAGUUCAAAUAAAAAAAAUGGUACUAUAAAUACCUUCCAAACCCAUCUACAGUUCUACAUUUCAGUCUCUUCUUCUAAGUUUCUAACCUAGCCCCCCCUCACUCCCUCUUGAUUAAAUCUUCAUCUACUCUAUUCUCUCCCACCUUCAGUCUCUUCUUCUAACCUAGCAAACCUAGCUGCCGCCCCCCCCUCACUCCCUCUUGAUCAAAUCUUCAUCUCUAUUCUCUCUCAUCUAAAUAUAUGCUUUGUAGCUUCUUGUUCUAACCCUAGCAAAUCUAGCCGCCGCCCCUCCCUCUUGUUCAAUCUCUCGAUCAGAUCUUAAUCUCUCCCAUAUAAAGAUCUACUUUUUAGUUUCCUCUUCCAACCCUAGCAAACCCAGUCGCCGCCCCCUCCCUCUUAUUCAAUCUCUCAAUCAAAUCUUCAUCUCUCAAUUAUCUGUCUCUAAAUCAAAAUUAGCAGUCGUUCCUUCAAGUUCUUUGUCUCUCCAAGUUGGAUGACAAAUUUGAUGCUUUCUAUUUUCUUUUCUAAAUUGUUUUUUUUUUUAGUUUUUAUCAGUUUAUAUUAACCUAUUUUGUUAAACUUUUCAGGUGAACUAUUCAAGAGAACCAGAUGCACUUUUAAUGUCCAUGUCGUGAGAAAGAUAGUUGAUGCAUUUUAUUUCAAUUUCAAGGACUCCUGCAGAUUGUAUUUCUUUAAUUUUAUUAGAGGCAUUGUUUUCUUGGUUUGUGUUAUUUUAUGUAUAAUUUUAUUUUGGAUUUUGAUUAGAGUUGAUUGGUUUGAGAAAACUACUGGGUGCAAAUUAAAAAUAUUUCGCCUAUUAUUUGAGAUAAAUCUUGGUAAAGGAAAGUAAAACAAUGAAUAUAGGUUUUUUAUAUUUGAUUAUAAAUUUACAAGCCUUUUAAAUGACCCCAUCAAAAGUCAUAAAAAGCCAAAAAAAAUUGAACUGGUUUUUCCGGUUUUUCUCUUUAAUUAACCGAACCAAACCGAAUCGAAAUUGAUCGGUUUGAACCGGUUUCGUUUUUUUAAAAAAAAAAAUAAAAUUGAUUUAGUUAUUUUUUUAAAUAAAAACCGGACUGAACCGGAAAUGCUCACCUCUACCUACCACUAUCACGAUGUUAUUGAAUGAAGAAAAGCAUAAAUAAACUAUGCCUGAUUUGACAAACUUUUUUUUUUUUAAUCCCUGCCAAACCAUCCAUCGACUAUCUGAAUUCAAAAGUAUCAGCUUUUUUAAUAUUGAUGGUUGUAAUUUCACUUGUAAAAUUUUGGAUUUUUUUUUAAAAAUUUAUUACUUCGAGUGUUAUAAAUUUUGAAAUAACUAGAAAUUUACCAUACUGAUAACUGAACUGUGACUCGUGUUCAGCAAAGGAGGGCUUUAUAUUAUUCAUUGCCGACUUUUCUUUUCCUUUUCUCUUUUUAUUGCAGACUUUUCUUCUUGGCUGUCCAGAUAAAUGGAAAAUUAGAAGAGGAGCAGUCAAAGUUAGGCUGCAUGAUUUGACGAAGGUUUUUUUCUGCCCCCUCUUAUCCAUGGCCGCCUCUGUUCAAGCUGAGAUUGCCCUUGGAAAUCCUAACUAAGAUGCACAAAUUGAAAAACUCAAUUCCAUGGCGAGUCUCCAGUUUGCUUAACUGCUUAGCUUGCUUUCAUACAGAUCACAGAGAAUUUACUCCUGGCUCUACGCACUGGUCUUUCCAACAGACAAGGAGAAAUCGAAAAACAAAUAACAAUGAUCGCAAGUUUUAUGGAUAUCACCAAAAUGAUCUAACAUCACUGGAUAUUCUAAGCUUGCAGCCUGAUUAAAAUUUAUUGACUCCACAACACGAAAGGUCUUGCUUAGAUAACCCUGGUGAGGAGAAAAAUCCAUCCAGCGUUCUCUUGGUCCAUUCAUGGAAAACACAGAGAUCUAGACUUCCAGAGAUCAUGGCCUUCAUCGACGAGUCUAGGAGAAACAUCUGCCUUGAACGUUCUAGAUGUUUAUAACUCAAAACCCUUCGAAUAAAAAACUUUUGUUAUAAAGAAGAGAUUCAAACACAAAAUAUCUUGCAGAAACCCUUUGAAUAAAAACUUUUCUUAUGAAGAUGUUCGAGCACAAAAUAUCUUGCAGAAGAGGUAAACAACAAAAGAGUUUCAAUCCUCAUGUCCACUAUAAUUAGUAUAUUUUGUAAAUUGAAAUUUUAGCUUUAGUACCUUUCUCAAAAACGAGACUACUUCUUCCUUUAUCAUGAUCUAGCCAUUAUGAGAUUGACUUUCUCAAAAGGCGUGGCAAAGAAGAUUAGCAUCGAUACCGUCAUGCAUGGCGUAUAUCAAAACGGCAACUUCCAGGAGAUGAUAUGUAUGGUCAACAUUAUUAACAUUAAUAAUGCUUAUUUAACCCAGAAAAUCAUGAAGUAAAUCGCAACCUGUGAGAAAUUGCUGAGAAACUUGUAUAGAAAAAGAAAGAACAUGCAUCGCGUUAAUUAUUGCAUUUCUUAUCUCCAUAGUCAAGUCUUCUUUCGACAGAGAAUUGAAGUGAAUAUGAUUAUGUAAGCAAAUAUAUCAAUAAUGGAGGAAGUAAAGCUUCUUUUCGAGGUAUAUCCCUUUCAUUAACUAAAUUCUUCUGAAUUUGCUGACCCAUCACACAAAAACACAGGCAAAAGAAUUUUGAUGGUCGGAAGUCUGUUUAUGUUGUAUUAAAAUAUUUUUUUUUAAAAAAUCUAUAUUUAACUUUGGAUCAUCAAAAUAAUAUAAAAAUAUAAAAAAUUAAUUUUUUUAAAAGUACCGUUUGAAAUGCAUUCGCGGCUGCCCUCAAUAGCAAAUGUGUACUGCCCACAGCCCAAGCAAGACUCUUUCAUUAAAAAUCAGCACUAUAAAUGACUAUGGCAGGUAAAGAACAAUCACCAUACAAAUCCCUUGGUCAUGGCGGAGGUAGUGAAGCUGCUCGGAGCAUUGUCCAGCCCAUUUGUUUUCCGAGUGAUAUGGGCUCUCAAAAUGAAGGGCAUUCCAUAUGAGUACAUAGAAGAAGAUGUUACCAUCAAAAGUCCUCUGCUUCUGAAGAAGAACCCUGUUCUUAAGAAGAUCCCAGUGCUUCUCCAUGGCGAAAAACCAGUUUGCGAGUCCAUGAUUAUUGUCGAAUACAUCGAUGAGAUAUGGCCCCAAAAUCCCUUGUUGCCCAAUGACCCUUACGAGAGAGCUCCGGCUCGUUUCUGGGUCAAAUUUACCGACGAUAAGGUAAAAAGAGUACAGGCAUCAUUUUACAUUACAUAAAAUAUUACUAUGAAACCGAGUUCUGGGCUUUAAAGAAAAAUUGGUUUCUGCUGAUUUGGUUAGUUCAUGAUCAAUGAUGAAUCAUUAUGUUGACUCGAGCUGUUCUAAUAAAAUUGAUUAAGGGAAAAAAAGUAAAUGGAAAGGAAUAUAAAAGAAAUACAACAGUGUUUAUACACCAUUCCGGAAUUUAAUAAAAUAGCAGCAUCAACCGACAACCAUUAUGGAUUGUUACAGUAGAAAAACAAGCUCAACUACAAGAGAAAAACCAUCCAUGGAAACGAAAAGGUGAGACAUCCAUGGAAUAUUUCGCAUCCAAAAGCAUAAUAUAGGCUACUUGUUCGUCAUUUUCUCCCUGACACUUUUCAUAUGGAGGAGCAUUUUAUCAUAGUCGGGAAUGUUUUCUUUAAUCAGAGGAACUUCAAUGAAAUUCUGGGCCCAAGCAUGCAAUCGAGGCAGUGUGCUUGGUUCAAGAACUUUCACACCCGCUGCUUCUUCAAUGGCUGCAAACCAAUAAGCGAAGAGUCCAUAUGAGAUGUCAACUAGAUUUAUGCUGUCACCGCCAAAAAACUUCUUGUCCCCGAGACCUUUCUCUUCUAAGACUCUCAACACUUCCGCCACUUCUUUCACUGCCUUCUCUAGCUCCUCUCCACUAGCUCGGAAAAGGGCACCAAAGGCAGCACCCUAAAUAAUGAAAGAAUUCAAUUUACAAGUCACAGAACAGAGAUAAAUGAAUCGAUAUUUGAAGGUGUUUAGCCUGAGGAGAAUAAAAAUAAAAGAAGGCAAGUUAUGAGAAAUUUUUAAUUAUUUUUCCACUUUAAGAACAAGAAGAAGAAAAUGUUUUCUGGAAUCGAUUGUCUUUUUCCAGGACUGCUACCAGAUCAAAUUAAUCAUUGUGGGCCUCAUGAACAGUUACAAAAUAUAUACAAGAAGAUGGAUCUCGUUACCUUGGUAACUCCAUAUUGAAUCCAAAACCGAGCCAUGGCUCUCUCGUAAGGAUCUGUCGGUAGCAGUGGAUUCUCCGGCCAUGUUUCCUCGAUGUAUUCAAGGAUAACAAGAGACUCCGCAAUCGGCUUGCCACCAUGGACGAGUACAGGGAUUUUCUUGUAAACUGGGUUAUACUUCAAUAGCAGUUCACUUUUAUUGGUGAGGUCUUCUUCAAUAUACUCAAACUCCACGCCCUUUAGUUUCAGAGCCCAUAUAACUCUGUAACUAAAAGGGCUAGCCCAGAAACCAUGCAGCUUCACAUCUGCCAUCGUUGCAAUGAGAUCAGUAUGCAAG
RNAcentral lists this long non-coding RNA (13510 nucleotides) under Populus tremula. Its description in RNAcentral is "long non-coding RNA (PTRE_LNC002822)". The record is from RNAcentral. Lineage: Eukaryota; Viridiplantae; Streptophyta; Magnoliopsida; Malpighiales; Salicaceae.